AAUCAACGCUGGCGGCGUGCCUAACACAUGCAAGUCGAACGAGAAAGUGGAGCAAUCCAUGAGUAAAGUGGCGCACGGGUGAGUAACACGUGACUAACCUACCCUUGAGUGGGGAAUAACUUCGGGAAACCGAGGCUAAUACCGCAUAACACCUACGGGUCAAAGGAGCAAUCCGCUUAAGGAGGGGUCGGCGGCGAGAUAGUUAGUUGGUCGGGGUAAGUAGGCCGACCAACGAACGGUGGAUCUGAGUUCCGGCCCGUCGAGAAGGGCGGCACGGACGACACCUGG
Molecule: ribosomal RNA, 288 nt
Filed under: uncultured bacterium
Lineage: Bacteria
Description: partial 16S ribosomal RNA
Rfam family: Bacterial small subunit ribosomal RNA
Source: RNAcentral